CUGUUAGAUGCUAAAGAAAGCUCGACGUGUGUCUCAUCAUUUAUAUAUCACAGUCUUCAUCCAUCCACUGAGCCAGUUAAGGAUGUCUUGCUGAAACCCUUGGACUGGAAAGUCCAACUCCUCCCACAUCCAAGUAGGCCAGCAAUCCACAGCAUCAUCUGGGCUGGAUAUGUAAAGUUCAGGCACAUCAUCAUCCGCGUAGAGGAGGUUCCUCUGCCGUCGCCGUGUUCAUGCGUUAGAUGGCGAGGCGGGUGGACUCCUGCUGGACGUCAACCAUGAUGUCCAGAAACGCUGACAAUCCUGCUGGGCGUCCGAUCACACUUCAGCUCAACAGUAUCUGAAGUAUCUACAAGCACCAAGAACAGAUGAAGCUCAGUCAAAGGGAGGGGCAGCGUUCUGGUUGGUCGUCUUGUUGGACGUGAACUUUCACCCCUGGCUCAAGUCUUCUGCAGCCUCCGCCACACUUCUCCACAGCUCAGUCCACAUCAUGAC
Poeciliopsis prolifica (blackstripe livebearer) is the source of this 492-nucleotide long non-coding RNA. RefSeq lists it as uncharacterized. NCBI's taxonomy places the organism in Eukaryota, Metazoa, Chordata, Actinopteri, Cyprinodontiformes, Poeciliidae. The record is from RefSeq and is a predicted model, not a curated record. The transcript is spliced from 4 exons.